CGAACGGUAACUUUUGGUGCUUGCACCGAAAGACGAGUGGCGAACGGGUGCGUAACGCGUAUGCAAUCUGCCUUUUACUAGGGUAUAGCCCAGAGAAAUUUGGAUUAAUCCCCUAUAAUAUCAUUUAAUCGCAUGAUUUUAUGAUUAAAGCUUCGGCGGUAAAAGAUGAGCAUGCGUCCUAUUAGUUAGUAGGUGAGGUAACGGCUCACCUAGACUCCGAUAGGUAGGGGUCCUGAGAGGGAGAUCCCCCACACUGGUACUGAGACACGGACCAGACUCCUACGGGAGGCAGCAGUGAGGAAUAUUGGACAAUGGACGAAAGUCUGAUCCAGCUAUGCCGCGUGCAGGAUGACGGCCCUAUGGGUUGUAAACUGCUUUUAUACAGGAAGAAAAACUCCGACGUGUCGGAACUUGACGGUACUGUAAGAAUAAGGAUCGGCUAACUCCGUGCCAGCAGCCGCGGUAAUACGGAGGAUCCAAGCGUUAUCCGGAAUCAUUGGGUUUAAAGGGUCCGUAGGCGGUUUUUUAAGUCAGAGGUGAAAUCCUGCAGCUCAACUGUAGAAUUGCCUUGAUACUGAAAGACUUGAGUUAUUGUGAAGUGGUUAGAAUGUGUGGUGUAGCGGUGAAAUGCAUUGAUAUCAUACAGAAUACCAAUUGCGAAGGCAGAUCACUAACAAUAUACUGACGCUCAGGGACGAAAGCGUGGGUAGCGAACAGGAUUAGAUACCCUGGUAGUCCACGCCGUAAACGAUGGAUACUAGCUGUAUGUCUACUUCAGGUAGAUGUGUGGCUAAGCGAAAGUGAUAAGUAUCCCACCUGGGGAGUACGAUCGCAAGAUUGAAACUCAAAGGAAUUGACGGGGGCCCGCACAAGCGGUGGAGCAUGUGGUUUAAUUCGAUGAUACGCGAGGAACCUUACCAGGGCUUAAAUGUAACGGGACAGAUCUAGAGAUAGAUCCU
RNAcentral lists this ribosomal RNA (959 nucleotides) under uncultured marine bacterium. RNAcentral's name for it is "bacterial SSU rRNA". It matches the Rfam family "Bacterial small subunit ribosomal RNA", at positions 63 to 1014 of the family's 1533-position model. The record is from RNAcentral.